ACGGAAGGCAGCAGUGAGGCAUAUUGGUCAAUGGGCGAGAGCCUGAACCAGCCAAGUCGCGUGAAGGAAGACGGCCCUAUGGGUUGUAAACUUCUUUUGCCUGGGAAUAAAGUGAGGGACGCGUCCCUUAUUGUAUGUACCAUGCGAAUAAGGAUCGGCUAACUCCGUGCCAGCAGCCGCGGUAAUACGGAGGAUCCGAGUGUUAUCCGGAUUUAUUGGGUUUAAAGGGUGCGUAGGCGGGCGAUCAAGUCAGUGGUGAAAUGGUGUGGCUCAACCAUAGCAUUGCCGUUGAAACUGGUUGUCUUGAGUGCGAAUGAGGUGGGCGGAAUGUGUCAUGUAGCGGUGAAAUGCAUAGAUAUGACACAGAACACCGAUUGCGAAGGCAGCUCACUGGGGCGCAACUGACGCUGAGGCACGAAAGUGCGGGGAUCGAACAGGAUUAGAUACCCUGGUA
Molecule: ribosomal RNA, 454 nt
Filed under: uncultured Paludibacter sp.
Lineage: Bacteria; Pseudomonadati; Bacteroidota; Bacteroidia; Bacteroidales; Paludibacteraceae
Description: partial 16S ribosomal RNA
Rfam family: Bacterial small subunit ribosomal RNA
Source: RNAcentral